This is a long non-coding RNA of Thalassophryne amazonica, 157 nucleotides long. RefSeq lists it as uncharacterized. The transcript has 3 exons. Lineage: Eukaryota; Metazoa; Chordata; Actinopteri; Batrachoidiformes; Batrachoididae. The record is from RefSeq and is a predicted model, not a curated record.
GUCUGAUGACCUCUCUCUCCUCCUCAGACACACCAGCUCCCCCUGCUGGCGAACCUAUGCAGCUCGGCAGGGCCAAAUUGCCCCCUGAAGAGCGCAGACGGAGACUGGCGUCUGGGGAGUGUCUCUAUUGUAGUGCUAAGGGACACAGCCUUAACAC